ACCUGGAGGAAGGUGGGGAUGACGUCAAAUCAUCAUGCCCCUUAUGCUUAGGGCUACACACGUGCUACAAUGGGUAGUACAGAGGGUUGCCAAGCCGUAAGGUGGAGCUAAUCCCUUAAAGCUACUCCCAGUUCGGAUUGUAGGCUGAAACUCGCCUACAUGAAGCUGGAGUUACUAGUAAUCGCAGAUCAGAAUGCUGCGGUGAAUGCGUUCCCGGGUCUUGUACACACCGCCCGUCACACCACGGG
RNAcentral lists this ribosomal RNA (248 nucleotides) under Clostridioides difficile. RNAcentral's name for it is "partial 16S ribosomal RNA". It matches the Rfam family "Bacterial small subunit ribosomal RNA", at positions 1161 to 1408 of the family's 1533-position model. The record is from RNAcentral. Lineage: Bacteria; Bacillati; Bacillota; Clostridia; Peptostreptococcales; Peptostreptococcaceae.